This 102-nucleotide small nucleolar RNA is filed under the name Cephalotus follicularis. RNAcentral's name for it is "Plant small nucleolar RNA R71". It matches the Rfam family "Plant small nucleolar RNA R71". Rfam says of the family: R71 is a member of the C/D box family of snoRNAs containing the C (UGAUGA) and D (CUGA) box motifs. Lineage: Eukaryota; Viridiplantae; Streptophyta; Magnoliopsida; Oxalidales; Cephalotaceae. The record is from Rfam by way of RNAcentral.
AUGGCAUGAUGGGGACAUUUCUUGAUGACUUCAUUUAAUCUUUCCCAUGACUCAUGCAACUGCUCACCAUCUUGCUACGAAAAGCUAGUGAGAGCUCACCUU